UGAGGAGCCUCCUAGUCCCCACCUGAGGACGGCACAGAGGAGAACACGUGCAGAGAAGCAGGUUGAAUAUGGAAGCAGCGUUCUAACAGUCGGAUCUCAGUGGAACAGAGUCCAUCCACACGUAUUUGGAGGAGCUGAAGCAGAGGAUGGAGAACACAGACCAACAAGGAGGAGAAACAUGGCUCCUCUGCUCGUCUCUCCAACAUUCUGGAGUCCUGGAAUGAAAAACGUCGACGACCCCACAGCUAAACCAUCAGUCUGCUCCACC
Long non-coding RNA from Cyprinodon tularosa, 268 nucleotides. RefSeq lists it as uncharacterized. Lineage: Eukaryota; Metazoa; Chordata; Actinopteri; Cyprinodontiformes; Cyprinodontidae. The record is from RefSeq and is a predicted model, not a curated record. The transcript is spliced from 3 exons.